This 462-nucleotide ribosomal RNA is filed under the name uncultured bacterium. RNAcentral describes it as "partial 16S ribosomal RNA". It matches the Rfam family "Bacterial small subunit ribosomal RNA", at positions 28 to 507 of the family's 1533-position model. The record is from RNAcentral.
GACGAACGCUGGCGGCGUGCUUAACACAUGCAAGUCGAGCGGAAAGGCCCUUCGGGGUACUCGAGCGGCGAACGGGUGAGUAACACGUGAGUAACCUGCCCCAGACUUUGGGAUAACCCUCGGAAACGGGGGCUAAUACCGAAUACGACACAGCUUCGCAUGUGGUCUUUGUGGAAAGUUUUUCGGUUUGGGAUGGGCUCGCGGCCUAUCAGCUUGUUGGUGGGGUGAUGGCCUACCAAGGCGACGACGGGUAGCCGGCCUGAGAGGGCGACCGGCCACACUGGGACUGAGACACGGCCCAGACUCCUACGGGAGGCAGCAGUGGGGAAUAUUGCACAAUGGGCGGAAGCCUGAUGCAGCGACGCCGCGUGAGGGAUGACGGCCUUCGGGUUGUAAACCUCUUUCAGCAGGGACGAAGCGUAAGUGACGGUACCUGCAGAAGAAGCGCCGGCCAACUACGUG